GCUGGCCAUAGUUCAAUGGCAGAGCAUCUUCUCCACAUGCAGAAGGUCUUGGGUUCAGUCCCCCAUGGCAUCUGCA
This is a non-coding RNA of Podarcis lilfordi (Lilford's wall lizard), 76 nucleotides long. NCBI's taxonomy places the organism in Eukaryota, Metazoa, Chordata, Lepidosauria, Squamata, Lacertidae. The record is from the annotation of a GenBank genome assembly.